UGAUUUGAUGUUAGGAGGGCAAAUCCGCCGAAUUUAAGCAUAUAAUUAAGCGGAAGAAAAGAAAAUAACUAUGAUUCCUUUAGUAACGGCGAGUGAACAAGGACCAGCUCAAACGGUUAAUCCUUCGUUUGGUGCAAGCCUUUCGACGGAAUUGUCGUUGAAUUAUUCCAUGAAUGCCUUUAAUUUGAGCAAAGUGAGCAGGAAUGCUUCCCCAUAGAGGGUGAAAGGCCCAUAGUUCUUUUUAAUUUAUUCAUUGGAAUUUUUCAUUCCGAGUCGUGUUCUUUGAGAUUGGAGCACUAAUACGUGUGAUACAUUUCACAUAAAGCUAAAUAUUUGUAGGAGACCGAUAGCAAACAAGUACCGUGAGGGAAAGAUGAAAUAGUACUCAGGAAUGAGCAAUUAAAUAGUACCUGAAAUCGUUAAGAUGGAACGGAUUAAGAGAGAAAACAAGUAAAGAGGGGAAUUUUUAAUUUUUUUUGUUUUAAUUCUCUUCUUUAUUAAAAGAAACAUCAGUGAUUAAUUUAAUUUCAAUAAAGCAAUCCCCUGAAAUUCAAAAUUUCUUUUAAUUUUGUUUUCACUUUCUCCCCGCACUAAUGUGGGGAAAACUGGCUUUAUUUCUUCAAUUAUUUUUUUUGCUGAGGAAUUUUAAAAUUAUUUGAAUUUUUCUUCUUAUAAUUUAAGUUGUUUCUAUAUAGUACUUUCUUAACCCACUCGUCUUGAAACACGGACCAAGGAGUCUAGCAAAUGUGCAAGUGUAUAUGAUUCUUUAAACAUUUCUCUUUUUAAUAUACGCAUAAUUAAUGUAAUAUGUUUCUUUAUUGUAGAUUUGUGUGGUGUUUAAUUUUUAUUAAAUCCCCACUUUGCAUACAAUACCAGUAAGCAAUUAUGCUUUAUUGAGUACGAGCAUAUUUGGUAGGACCCGAGAGGCUUUGAACUAAGCGUGAUGAGAUUGAAGUCAGACGAAAGUCUGAUGGAGGAUCGAGUUGAUACUGACGUGCAAAUCGUUCGUUUCAAUCACGUUUAGGGGCGAAAGACUAAUCGAAAAGCCUAUUAGCUGGUUAUUUUCGAAAGAUCUCUCAGGAUCGCUGGAGUUGAUUAAUAUAAUUUUACCAGGUAGAGAUAAUGGGUAGAGGAAUCAGGGAAGGGGGUUCCUUGACCUAUUCUCAAACUCCCAAUAGGUAAAAAGGGCGAGAUAACUCAAUUUGUAUUUCACGCAUAUUAAAUAAAAUAACUCCAAGGGGGCCAUUGGGGUAGCGCGACUGGCGAGGAGGGAUGCUCCUAAGCUGAGAUAAGGGGCCUAGAUAUUCCCUCA
Molecule: non-coding RNA, 1312 nt
Filed under: Plasmodium falciparum Dd2
Lineage: Eukaryota; Apicomplexa; Aconoidasida; Haemosporida; Plasmodiidae
Description: Eukaryotic large subunit ribosomal RNA
Rfam family: Eukaryotic large subunit ribosomal RNA
Source: Rfam by way of RNAcentral